UCCACACACCAUCUCGAUCCCAAACUUCACCACAAAGUAUGAGGAGGCUAGCAUGAGGAGCAAGGAGUAACAACAAGCUUAGGAUCAGCCACAAUCAUCAAGGAUUCACCCAAGUCAAGGUGGUUCGCACGCACGCUGAAAGUCGGAACGAGGAAUUUUUACGGAAAACUUAAGCAUUUGAGUUAUGGGAGGACGCCGUUUCAUGGAAGCCCUCCUGAGUAUGCACGCCAGGUUUUGUUACGUACACAACGGUUAUCCGGCGAAACCAAUCCAUGUACUCAUCAGUUGCUAUGGGCUCCAUCGAGUACUCCGAAUCGGUCCACACCAUGUUGUGCCUUUUAUCCCAAUUUUGUAUAUGAGCGGCGUGCCACUCAACCCAAUUCCGGCCAGCUUUGCCUCGCCGAUCCUGUUUCACAAAAUCAGUUCCGUGGAACCGGUCGACAAGCGGGAUAUAUGGUUGGACAAUCCCAAAUUGUCGCAACACUCGCUGUGGCAAGUGUGGCUCAACCAUAUUCCAGCAAAUAAGUGUUGUGAUCAACGUUCAUAUAGGACGACCGGCAAUACAAACUUCCGGCAGAGUUCGCAUGACAUACGGCCUCCAAAUAAACUAAAUAUGAAACAAAUUUAGUCAAAACAAGUUCAAUCAAAACAGCAAACAAACAACAAUUUAGGUUACGUAAAUUAUUUGGUUGGCGUGCAUUCUAGAGAAUUGAUCUCUGAAAGUUUCAAUGCAAUGUCCGGGUGCUUUCACAUAAGAGGCCGAACCAUUCCAUCUACAAAAAUUAAAUUAUGAGCGAAUAACACGGAAAUUAAUAAAAAUAAUGCUUAAAAACAAAUAUUUAGUGAACAACUUACGCGAUUGCACAUGGUACGUAGUCUAUGGGCACGGGAUUAAGCAUCGUCGGUCUAAUAAUUGGGAUUCUCUCCCAAGCCCACAACUGUAACAGAGUAAGAGCUCCUCCGACAUCGGACCUCUUUGCAAGUGCAGCUUCACAAAGAUUGUGGUACAAGCAGGCAAGAGUCGCACCACCCCAGCUAUAGCUACCACAACGUCCUACAUCCAUGAAAAAUUGAAGGUAGAAGAAUGGAAUUUUAUUACCUGAGGCGUUCGGAAUUAACAGACCACCAAGUAAUAGCAGACAAUAAACACGGGCGCGUUGAACGUAUAUGUACUGGUCGUGGUCAUCAUUCAACUCAACCCUCAGUUGUUUUGAUAAACUCGUCUGCUUCCAAACCAGUUCUUUCAGCUCAACAGUAUCUGGUAUAAAGCCAAGAAAAUACAGACACGCUUGAGUCCAAUACCCGACAUCCUUACUGGGGAUAUAACCCGUCACAGCUUCCCCGUCAACUUUGAGGCCCCAUAAGACCUCCACGUCUUCCAAAGUCACUGUAGCUUCACCGACUGGAAAGUGAAACGUGUGAGUCUCUGGCCUCCAUCGUUCAAUUAAUGCGGUGAUAAGAUGGUGGUCAAUGUCUUUCGGUUGACCACACCUCAACAUCCCGAAAGUGAAAUGUAGUCGAGCAUCCCCUUGGUUUGAUGAACAGCCUUCUUUGGGAACUUGUUGCGAUGAAGCUUCCCAAAAACACUGUGUUCGCAGAAAUCCAGAUUCUUCACUUUAUGCCCAGAGAGAAGAUCACGGUUGGACAUAAUUUGCAUCCCUCGUUCCCCCAUCUGACCAAGCCUCAUAUGCCAUAGCUUUGUCAUACUCUCGGCCGGAAUCUCGGAUGAUGCAGUAUCAGCACAGCCUGUCAUGAUGGAAACUUUUAGAAUAUACAAGGUACCUGGAGUGACUGAGGGAGUGUGUGCGUAUGCGUGCUGUGUAAAUCAAACAGGUCCAGAGGAUUCACUCAACCGCUAGGUAUACCAAAUCUUAAAACUAUCAGAAUAUGUCGUUGGGACACUCUCAAUCGCUUCAAAACCUUAACCCAUUUACUAUUGGCUAGUAUAGGUUAGUAAGGAUCGAUCCCAUAGAGACGAAAGGGGUUAGCAAGUGUUCAGAGGAUCUGGAAGGGGUUGACUACUGCCACGCAACUCAUGGGUUAAGUUUGCUUUAACUACUAGACUUAGGAGAAUUUAAAGGUAACUAAUCUAACUACUAGACUUAUGAAACAGGAAAAGGUACGCACACAUGCAUGACUCACGGAAAUGAAAUUUGACUAGAGAAUUCAAAUAACUAAACUACUGGGCUAGGUAAACGGGUUUCCGAAAACAGCUAAACAAUACGUAAACAUGCAGUGGGGACCAUUUUCCCAAUUUAGCUACGAUGACAGAACAGCUGCAAAAAGUAAACAACGACCAGUGACAGAUCAGACUCUAACUAACUUCCAACUUCAUCUUCUUCAGUAAGCUAAGUAAACAUAAACAAAAAUAGAGCAUCAAACAUACGAAAACAGAGCAAUCUCAGAUCCGACUUCAAACCCUAUGACUAAACACCAAACUACUAGAUCUAAACUACUAGGUCUAGCAAAAUAAGAAAGCAACAGUAAACAUCCAUAACCAUGCAAAAUCAGAACAUCACCUCUCAGAUUCACAACUCCAAACUUCAAUUCAACUUAGAUCAACAAAAACCAACUCCACUACAUUCAGAUCCAUAUCUCCUCAGUUCAGAUUCAACAAAUUCAACCAUAAAUCAACUCCGAUCAACCUGAUCAACGAGUUCGUAUAUGUGGACUUCUCAAAUCUGAAUAGUAUGGACUAGAAAGUAGUUUCCAAUUUACCGUCACCCAUGCUGUGGGGACAAUAAUCCUAAGAAAUUACGAGUUUCAGAAGUCCAAACAGAAUUUUCGAGAUAGCUUGGUCUGGUUAUCAACUCAUUAGCAUUGUUAUGGGAAUGUAUUGUAGAAACGAGAUUCUGUAAUGCUAAAUCAGAUGGUCGUGCUUAGGCAACAUUUGGCGGCCAUGCCGUGCUGCGGUCUCUGGACUAUUCAUCGGUGUUGUGACCAGUAAAAAUGUUAAAAUUUUAAUGCGUAUUGACCUCUACUUGAAGGUACAAAAUUUUAAUUUUUACAGUUGUAAGAUUUUGAAAAGUUCUAUGGAUAAUCUCUUCAAUUUCGUUACAUAAGUUUAUGAAAAAUAGUAAAUCUUCUAUUUUGCAGUACAACCUAAACCGUCACAAUGUCACUCAAUCCUCUAUCUGCAGUUCUUAAAUAAAAAAAACUCGAGGGCCCAAAUUACAUAGAAUGAAAAUAAAUUUUGGACAUCGUUCUCAUGGUUGAUGAGUACAAGUUUGUGUUCACUACUCCACGGCCUCCAGUGCCGGUGGCUAAUGCCGCGCAGGUAGUGCGAGAUACGCAUAAACGGUGGCAUAAGGCAAAUGAGAUGGCUAAGUGUUAUAUAUUGGCCUCCAUGUCAACAGUGCUUACACAUCAGCAUGCUGCCAUGGCGACUGCAGCCGAGAUUAUACAAAAUCUCACAAAUCGUUUUGGUACUCAGAAUCGAAUGGCUAAGUCUCAAGAUUUUCAGAGUAUCAUGGCAAAGACUAUGAAGGAAGGCUCAUCUGUGCGGAACCACGUCCUCGAGAUGAUGAGCCACCUCAAUCAAAUUGAGGUUUUGGGAGGGACGAUUAUCCCGAGUCCCAAGUGACUAUCAUCCUUCAAAGUC
Molecule: long non-coding RNA, 3601 nt
Organism: Salvia splendens (bonfire salvia)
Lineage: Eukaryota; Viridiplantae; Streptophyta; Magnoliopsida; Lamiales; Lamiaceae
Exons: 3
Source: RefSeq, a predicted model, not a curated record